AGAGUUUGAUCCUGGCUCAGGAUGAACGCUAGCUACAGGCUUAACACAUGCAAGUCGAGGGGCAGCAUGGUCUUAGCUUGCUAAGGCCGAUGGCGACCGGCGCACGGGUGAGUAACACGUAUCCAACCUGCCGUCUACUCUUGGACAGCCUUCUGAAAGGAAGAUUAAUACAAGAUGGCAUCAUGAGUCCGCAUGUUCACAUGAUUAAAGGUAUUCCGGUAGACGAUGGGGAUGCGUUCCAUUAGAUAGUAGGCGGGGUAACGGCCCACCUAGUCUUCGAUGGAUAGGGGUUCUGAGAGGAAGGUCCCCCACAUUGGAACUGAGACACGGUCCAAACUCCUACGGGAGGCAGCAGUGAGGAAUAUUGGUCAAUGGGCGAGAGCCUGAACCAGCCAAGUAGCGUGAAGGAUGACUGCCCUAUGGGUUGUAAACUUCUUUUAUAAAGGAAUAAAGUCGGGUAUGCAUACCCGUUUGCAUGUACUUUAUGAAUAAGGAUCGGCUAACUCCGUGCCAGCAGCCGCGGUAAUACGGAGGAUCCGAGCGUUAUCCGGAUUUAUUGGGUUUAAAGGGAGCGUAGAUGGAUGUUUAAGUCAGUUGUGAAAGUUUGCGGCUCAACCGUAAAAUUGCAGUUGAUACUGGAUAUCUUGAGUGCAGUUGAGGCAGGCGGAAUUCGUGGUGUAGCGGUGAAAUGCUUAGAUAUCACGAAGAACUCCGAUUGCGAAGGCAGCCUGCUAAGCUGCAACUGACAUUGAGGCUCGAAAGUGUGGGUAUCAAACAGGAUUAGAUACCCUGGUAGUCCACACGGUAAACGAUGAAUACUCGCUGUUUGCGAUAUACAGCAAGCGGCCAAGCGAAAGCGUUAAGUAUUCCACCUGGGGAGUACGCCGGCAACGGUGAAACUCAAAGGAAUUGACGGGGGCCCGCACAAGCGGAGGAACAUGUGGUUUAAUUCGAUGAUACGCGAGGAACCUUACCCGGGCUUAAAUUGCAGAUGAAUUACGGUGAAAGCCGUAAGCCGCAAGGCAUCUGUGAAGGUGCUGCAUGGUUGUCGUCAGCUCGUGCCGUGAGGUGUCGGCUUAAGUGCCAUAACGAGCGCAACCCUUGUUGUCAGUUACUAACAGGUUCCGCUGAGGACUCUGACAAGACUGCCAUCGUAAGAUGUGAGGAAGGUGGGGAUGACGUCAAAUCAGCACGGCCCUUACGUCCGGGGCUACACACGUGUUACAAUGGGGGGUACAGAGGGCCGCUACCACGCGAGUGGAUGCCAAUCCCAAAAACCUCUCUCAGCUCGGACUGGAGUCUGCAACCCGACUCCACGAAGCUGGAUUCGCUAGUAAUCGCGCAUCAGCCACGGCGCGGUGAAUACGUUCCCGGGCCUUGUACACACCGCCCGUCAAGCCAUGGGAGCCGGGGGUACCUGAAGUGCGUAACCGCGAGGAGCGCCCUAGGGUAAAACUGGUGACUGGGCUAAGUCGUAACAAGGUA
This 1485-nucleotide ribosomal RNA is filed under the name metagenome. RNAcentral describes it as "bacterial SSU rRNA". It matches the Rfam family "Bacterial small subunit ribosomal RNA". The record is from RNAcentral.